RNAcentral lists this ribosomal RNA (887 nucleotides) under Bacillus pumilus. RNAcentral describes it as "bacterial SSU rRNA". The stretch from base 311 to 887 matches the Rfam family "Bacterial small subunit ribosomal RNA", at positions 875 to 1470 of the family's 1533-position model. Lineage: Bacteria; Bacillati; Bacillota; Bacilli; Caryophanales; Bacillaceae. The record is from RNAcentral.
CAUACGUAUAUAUAUGCAAAUGUUGUUAUCGUUAUCGUUAUGGUGUGUUGUUGUUGGGUGUCGUGGUACGGUUGUGAUGAUGCGUCUUUCUAAAUGUAUAGUAUGUGCUUAUAUUUAUAUCAUACAUUAUAAAGGAGAUUUAGAGAUUUUGCAUGAGAAAGUUGAUGUCCCACAUUGACUUGUUACUGUAUCCAGUCGUCAUUUACGAUAAAAGUAACAUUAUGCUCCUUUGCUGGAUACUAGUUCGAAGGAUUGAGUGUGAUGUCAUUUUUACAAUCAAAAGGAUGUAUCUAUCCAAUAAGCAUUCCGACGGGAGAUCGGUGGCAAUAUGAAAGUUAAAGCAAUUUACUAGUCACGUCAGACGUCGACCAUGGGGGGACUUUGAAGCAACGGAAGAACCUUCCAUGUCAAUACAUCAUUGUCAACCUAGAGAUAGGGCUUUCCCUUCGGGGACAGAGUGACAGGUGGUGCAUGGUUGUCGUCAGCUCGUGUCGUGAGAUGUUGGGUUAAGUCCCGCAACGAGCGCAACCCUUGAUCUUAGUUGCCAGCAUUCAGUUGGGCAUUAAGGUGACUGCCGGUGACAAACCGGAGGAAGGGGGGAUGACGUCAAAUCAUCAUCCCCUUAUGACCUGGGCUACACACGUGCUACAAUGGACAGAACAAAGGGCUGCAAGACCGCAAGGUUUAGCCAAUCCCAUAAAUCUGUUCUCAGUUCGGAUGCAGUCUGCAACUCGCUGCGUGAAGCUGGAAUCGCUAGUAAUCGCGGAUCAGCAUGCCGCGGUGAAUACGUUCCCGGGCCUUGUACACACCGCCCGUCACACCACGAGAGUUUGCAACACCCGAAGUCGGUGGGUAACCUUUAUGGAGCCAGCCGCCAAGUGACAGAG